RNAcentral lists this long non-coding RNA (1349 nucleotides) under Equus asinus (donkey). RNAcentral describes it as "lncRNA (ENSEASG00005030215.1)". Lineage: Eukaryota; Metazoa; Chordata; Mammalia; Perissodactyla; Equidae. The record is from RNAcentral.
GGUGUCGUCCCCUUCCUGGGCUCACUCCUCGAUUACCUGCAGCUUCUGGACACUGAGAUGGAGGAUUAUCUGAAGGAGCGUGAGCAUGGAGGUGGGAACAGGGAACAGGAUCCUGAGGUUUGGGAGGCGAGAGCCCUGCACUGGGCCCUGAGCUCUCAGCACUUGGCAAAGCUCCUCUCCUGAGAACCUCCUGGCCGCCCCUGGAGCUGGGGCCUCAGGCACAUCUUAGCAAUGUGAGACCCAAGGCUUUGCAUAAUCCCCCCUCCAGGCUCCCUGGGCUGGGGGAGCUCAGAGCUGCCCUGACUACAGAGCUGCAGGAGGUGGGUGUCAGAGCUGGACUCAGCCUCUCCCUCAGGCCCCGCCCCUGGGGGAGUGAAGUCAGCCCCUGCAAGUCAGGAAGCACAUCCGUGGUCCAGCUGUCCCUUCCUUGCUGAGGGCUCAGUCUCCCUGUCUGUCAUCAGAGAGGUUGGAGCUACAGAGUCUGUGGCCUCAGUGACCCUGUCCCCCCUGCGCUGGAGCCCAGAGCCUGGCCCAGGUUCAGGCUCUCCUUGUGGCAGUGUCUGCCCUCUGCUGGGCCCUGGCAGUCCUGCAACCUGGGAAGGGGUGGGCUGGGGGCUAGUCAUGGGCCAAGGGGCCUGUUUCUGAUGGACAUUGGCUGUCUGCCUUCGAGGGAAAUAUGGUGAACUUCCAGAAAUGGAGUGAGGUGAGCAGCCGUGCCCUCGAUGCGGGGAGGGUGGGGCUGUGGAAAUCAGAGACCUCCCCUGCAAGACUUUCUCUGGCCUCAUCCCUUGGGUCUUAUCUUUAUUGGGAGAGUUAGAUACAGGCAGCUGGGGAUCCCAUCACAUUGGGGGUGGGGAGGAGGGGCUGACAUCGAGGACACCUUCCUGGAUGAGGAACUAUUUCAACCCAACUGUGAGAAAAGGCAAGUCCUGAAUGGAGUGGGAGGGAAGGAGGGUUCCCAAUGAGCAAAGACCCCAGAGCAGCUCCUCACUACCCACAAGUUCCUGGCUGGGUUCCCCCCCAGGCCCUGUCUGCAUCCUGUCCUUCCUCCCAGAAAUUCAAGGUCAUUAAAAGGAUCCAGCUGCUCCAGGCGGCUGCCAAUGAAUGCCACCUGCAGCCCGAGGAGCACUUUGGGGCCUGGUUCCAGGCCAUGGAGCCCCUCCGUGAGGAAGAGAGCUACAGCCUGUCCUGCCAGCUGGAGCCCCCAAACAUGAAGGUGAGCAAAAUGCGAGGCUUCUUCAGGACCAAGAAGAACCGGCCAUCCUCAAGAUUGGGGCUGACUGCCAUGCGCUUGGCAAGGAGCCAUCACACUCUAGAUGCCACCACAAGCUCAGCCUCUUCAGGUGCAG